UGGCGACGGGUGAGUAAUGUCUGGGAAACUGCCCGAUGGAGGGGGAUAACUACUGGAAACGGUAGCUAAUACCGCAUAACGUCGCAAGACCAAAGAGGGGGACCUUCGGGCCUCUUGCCAUCGGAUGUGCCCAGAUGGGAUUAGCUAGUAGGUGGGGUAACGGCUCACCUAGGCGACGAUCCCUAGCUGGUCUGAGAGGAUGACCAGCCACACUGGAACUGAGACACGGUCCAG
RNAcentral lists this ribosomal RNA (234 nucleotides) under uncultured bacterium. Its description in RNAcentral is "partial 16S ribosomal RNA". It matches the Rfam family "Bacterial small subunit ribosomal RNA", at positions 102 to 334 of the family's 1533-position model. The record is from RNAcentral.